GAAAUCAAGGCUGAGGCGUGAUGACGAGGCACUACGGUGCUGAAGCGACAAAUGCCCUGCUUCCAGGAAAAGCCUCUAAGCAUCAGGUAACAACAAAUCGUACCCCAAACCGACACAGGUGGUCAGGUAGAGAAUACCAAGGCGCUUGAGAGAACUCGGGUGAAGGAACUAGGC
This 174-nucleotide ribosomal RNA is filed under the name Escherichia fergusonii. RNAcentral describes it as "partial 23S ribosomal RNA". It matches the Rfam family "Bacterial large subunit ribosomal RNA", at positions 1546 to 1718 of the family's 2925-position model. Lineage: Bacteria; Pseudomonadati; Pseudomonadota; Gammaproteobacteria; Enterobacterales; Enterobacteriaceae. The record is from RNAcentral.